UGGGGAAUAUUGCACAAUGGGCGCAAGCCUGAUGCAGCCAUGCCGCGUGUGUGAAGAAGGCCUUCGGGUUGUAAAGUACUUUCAGCGGGGAGGAAGGGAGUAAAGUUAAUACCUUUGCUCAUUGACGUUACCCGCAGAAGAAGCACCGGCUAACUCCGUGCCAGCAGCCGCGGUAAUACGGAGGGUGCAAGCGUUAAUCGGAAUUACUGGGCGUAAAGCGCACGCAGGCGGUUUGUUAAGUCAGAUGUGAAAUCCCCGGGCUCAACCUAGGAACUGCAUCUGAUACUGGCAAGCUUGAGUCUCGUAGAGGGGGGUAGCAUUCCAGGUGUAGCGGUGAAAUGCGUAGAGAUCUGGAGGAAUACCGGUAGCGAAGGCGGCCCCCUGGACGAAGACUAACGCUAAAGUGCGAAAGCGUGGGGAGCAAACAGG
This 429-nucleotide ribosomal RNA is filed under the name Chloroflexota bacterium. RNAcentral's name for it is "Chloroflexi bacterium partial 16S ribosomal RNA". It matches the Rfam family "Bacterial small subunit ribosomal RNA", at positions 355 to 776 of the family's 1533-position model. The record is from RNAcentral. Lineage: Bacteria; Bacillati; Chloroflexota.